UCCGUUUAUGUCUUAUGGAGAAGUGAAUGUGGGAUUGUUUCUUAAACCCACAUCUCUUUAGUUUCGGACACAUUAAAGUCUAAAACGAGGAAGGGCUGAUGUUGUUUUUUGUUUAGAAAUAUGUUUAAAUUAAUGACUUUCCCAUCUCAGGUCCUCAGGACGUCUCUGUGUCUGAUGAACGGUGUGUUUUCAGCUUUACCAACCUGCCUGCUUUAGUGAUGAUCAUCUCCGUGCCGGCCUCGUGGAACUUCUUCCACAGCUCCCUCUCAUGAAGAACCACCUUUAUGUUCUCGAUGUUCUGCAGAGAGAACAAACAUUGCUGUUACACUGGACUCAAAGUAAUCCAUCCCUUCUCAGAGUAUCAGGAAUGAUUCCAGGGAAUUUAAGGAGUAUAAAACAGCAGCUGUAUGUUUGGGUCUGUACCUGGUCGGGCUCACUGGAGCUGGGGAUGCUGGGAGCGGUGGACAGGCCCAGUCUUGACUGGUCUGGAAGGAGAUCCGUCUCCUCGCCGCCACCGCCGUCGGUCAUACAUUCAUCCGUCACCGCGGGAACUUUCUCCUGCAGCAUCUCUGCAGGAUUACACAAAUGCUCAGCUGUCACGGAGAAAUGUCGGCUGCUCUUCUACCUGCCUGAUCUAAAAUCGGCUGAUGAAGUCCAGACUCUCCAGAACAACAAACACGAUCUCUCCUCUUUACUCUCUUUACACUCGCUUCUUUAAAACUCUUCUCUCAGCUUUCUUUCAGAUCUGUUCGUCCUGUACGAGAGGACACAAACAUCCAGAUCUUCUGUCUUCAGACACAGAAAACUAAAGAGGACCGAGUGUUUGCUGGGAGGAAUCUGAAACUCUGGAUGAAUCUGCUCGAGUAGGAUCAGUUGAAAACAGGGUCACUCUCCCGCUUUAGGGCAUCGCAUCAGACUACGUUCAAAUGGAAAACAUCUCUCCCACACGCCUGUAAUAUUUUCUUCUGGAGCUGCCAGAAGGUUGGAAAGUGGACGGGGGUUAAGCUGAGGCACGCCACCCCGUCCCUUACUCCUUUUUUCUUGCGGUCAAAAUGGCGGCUAAGGCUCCUUUUCCUGUUAGCUGAUACAGUGACAGCCCCUCCCCCGCCCCAUUCUCCACACUGCCUGCUUUCUAAUCAUUGAUUGGCCAGUUUCACUUGAGGUUGGCGUUGAGGUUUAGGUCGCUGUGGAGCGUCGCAGACAUGGAGGAGGUUUCUGUCUGGACUUCUCUGCAGGCCUCCAAAGGGUUGUGGUUCAAGGCCGACCUCCUGUC
This is a long non-coding RNA of Notolabrus celidotus (New Zealand spotty), 1273 nucleotides long. RefSeq lists it as uncharacterized. NCBI's taxonomy places the organism in Eukaryota, Metazoa, Chordata, Actinopteri, Labriformes, Labridae. The record is from RefSeq and is a predicted model, not a curated record. The transcript is spliced from 5 exons.